Molecule: ribosomal RNA, 250 nt
Filed under: uncultured Staphylococcus sp.
Lineage: Bacteria; Bacillati; Bacillota; Bacilli; Caryophanales; Staphylococcaceae
Description: partial 16S ribosomal RNA
Rfam family: Bacterial small subunit ribosomal RNA
Source: RNAcentral
CGUUAGCGGCGGACGGGUGAGUAACACGUGGGUAACCUACCUAUGAGACUGGGAUAACUUCGGGAAACCGGAGCUAAUACCGGAUAAUAUUUCGAACCGCAUGGUUCGAUAGUGAAAGAUGGUUUUGCUAUCACUUAUAGAUGGACCCGCGCCGUAUUAGCUAGUUGGUAAGGUAACGGCUUACCAAGGCGACGAUACGUAGCCGACCUGAGAGGGUGAUCGGCCACACUGGAACUGAGACACGGUCCAG